RNAcentral lists this ribosomal RNA (510 nucleotides) under uncultured bacterium. Its description in RNAcentral is "bacterial SSU rRNA". It matches the Rfam family "Bacterial small subunit ribosomal RNA", at positions 26 to 518 of the family's 1533-position model. The record is from RNAcentral.
AGGACGAACGCUGGCGGCGUGCCUAAUACAUGCAAGUCGAGCGAAUCAAAGGGAGCUUGCUCCCUGAGGUUAGCGGCGGACGGGUGAGUAACACGUGGGCAACCUGCCUAUAAGACUGGGAUAACUUCGGGAAACCGGAGCUAAUACCGGAUAAUUCUUUUCUACACAUGUAGGGAAGCUGAAAGACGGUUUACACUGUCACUUAUAGAUGGGCCCGCGGCGCAUUAGCUAGUUGGUGAGGUAACGGCUCACCAAGGCAACGAUGCGUAGCCGACCUGAGAGGGUGAUCGGCCACACUGGGACUGAGACACGGCCCAGACUCCUACGGGAGGCAGCAGUAGGGAAUCUUCCGCAAUGGACGAAAGUCUGACGGAGCAACGCCGCGUGAAGUGAUGAAGGUUUUCGGAUCGUAAAACUCUGUUGUUAGGGAAGAACAAGUACGAGAGUAACUGCUCGUACCUUGACGGUACCUAACCAGAAAGCCACGGCUAACUACGUGCCAGCAGCGGC